GUUUCAAAUAUAUUUUAAAAAGUUGAAAUAAUUGUACAGUAAGUGCACAUAUACCAUUUGGAUUCUACAGUUAACAUUUUACUAUUACCUACUUUAUCAUGUAUCUAUUUAUUCAUCUGCAUUUGUAUCUCUCCCCUCCCAACCCAAAUUCAAAUGUUGAAGCCCUAAUGCCCAGAAUGACUGUAUUAAGAGAUGGGACUUCUAAGGAAGUAAUUAAAGUUAAAUGAGGUCAUGAGGGCAGGAGGGCCUUUGCUCUGGAGACCUAAGAGAGCUCGUUUGUUUCUCCCACAAGAACACAAAGAGACCAGACAGUGGCUGCCAGUUGCAAAGAGAAGGGACCUCCAAACAAAAUCUACCUGCCUGACUCCUUGAUGCUAAGCUUCCCAGUUUCUAGAACUUGUGGGAAAGAAAUUUCUCUUGCUUAGGCCACCCAGUCUGUGGUAUUUUGUCACGGCAGACCAAACAGGCUCCAUUAUCAAGCCAAUCUACUGUUUGGAUGCAUUUCCAAGUAAGCAGCCGAUAUCAGAAAACUCCAUCCCUGAACAUGUCUGUGUGUCAUGGCCACGGUUCAAUAUUUAUUGAUGGCUAUUUUUUUUUUCAGUCCUAUUAAAAACAACAUAUAGCUCUGCCACGACACACAACUAAAUUGGUCAGGGUCACUCCAGGUGAACUGGGCUGACACAAAAUAAUCACACAGAGACAGAGAAAAUACCUUUUUCUUGGGGUUCAGCAACGGCUCCUCUGCCCCAGCUCCCAAAAGGGAGGCAAGAGAGGCUGGCAAAAAGAGAGUGAGCGGGCACACCUGAAGCCCUGUUUACUGAGGGGAAGACACUCGAGAAAGUUCCACCCAAUUGAGGUAAGGGAGGGGCUGGGGUUGUGGCUCAAUGGUACAGUGCUUGCCUAACAUGUGUGAGGCACUGGGUUUGAUCCUCAGCACCACAAACAAAUAAAAUAAAGGUGUUGUGUCCACCUACAACUAAAAAAUAGCCCAGUCUCAUUGUGUGACACCCACUCUCAGAGCUUCAAUCCCCUGCGGAGCAGAGGUAGGGUCCAGAGUCUGUAAACAAGUCAAAAUAACACCUGGCAUUUUGCCAGGGGAAUGUUAGAGUUCGGAAACAAGUCUGGAUGGUGCCUGGCAAAAUGCCAGAGGGAGUGGUUUGAGAAGUAACAAAAGCCAGCCAUUAAGUGUGGAGAGUCCUGAUUGGUUGACUGCUGUAUCUAGUUAAUGUUAAUUAGAUAAGCUGUGUGGAAUGUAUAAAUACUGCUCCUGUCCUGCAAUAAACGGCUUCCACUCCUGCUGUGUCAAUCUACACAAGUUGUUCGUCACCCCCCCCCCCAAGUGUCGGUGCUCACUCCUGUGUGGCAGCACAUGGCUCAGUGUGCUAGCGCAAGCCUGUAAUCCCAGAGGCUCAGG
This 1414-nucleotide long non-coding RNA is filed under the name Marmota monax (woodchuck). The record is from RNAcentral. Lineage: Eukaryota; Metazoa; Chordata; Mammalia; Rodentia; Sciuridae.